GACGAACGCUGGCGGCGUGCUUAACACAUGCAAGUCGAACGGAAAGGCCCUGCUUUUGUGGGGUGCUCGAGUGGCGAACGGGUGAGUAACACGUGAGUAACCUGCCCUUGACUUUGGGAUAACUUCAGGAAACUGGGGCUAAUACCGGAUAGGAGCUCCUGCUGCAUGGUGGGGGUUGGAAAGUUUCGGCGGUUGGGGAUGGACUCGCGGCUUAUCAGCUUGUUGGUGGGGUAGUGGCUUACCAAGGCUUUGACGGGUAGCCGGCCUGAGAGGGUGACCGGCCACAUUGGGACUAAGAUACGGCCCAGACUCCUACGGGAGGCAGCAGUGGGGAAUAUUGCACAAUGGGCGGAAGCCUGAUGCAGCAGCGCCGCGUGCGGGAUGACGGCCUUCGGGUUGUAAACCGCUUUCGCCUGUGACGAAGCGUGAGUGACGGUAAUGGGUAAAGAAGCACCGGCUAACUACGUG
This 468-nucleotide ribosomal RNA is filed under the name uncultured bacterium. RNAcentral describes it as "partial 16S ribosomal RNA". It matches the Rfam family "Bacterial small subunit ribosomal RNA", at positions 28 to 507 of the family's 1533-position model. The record is from RNAcentral.